AUGGCUUCUCACCCUUUUGGCUAAGAUGAAGUGUAGUAUCUGUUCUUAUCAGUAAGAUGACUUUCACUAUCACUAAUGGAAUCACUGCUAUCUAUUGGCUCAAUGGAACUUUCUUCUUUUCAUGCAACUUUAACUAGGAACCAAACCAAGGACACUUGCUUUUACCUUCUUUUGAGGAUUUCAUGGAAAUGUGACAUUACAUUGUCUUUAAACAGAUUCAUCUCUCAU
Molecule: small nuclear RNA, 228 nt
Organism: Heterocephalus glaber (naked mole-rat)
Lineage: Eukaryota; Metazoa; Chordata; Mammalia; Rodentia; Bathyergidae
Gene: U2
Rfam family: U2 spliceosomal RNA
About the family: U2 is a small nuclear RNA (snRNA) component of the spliceosome (involved in pre-mRNA splicing). Complementary binding between U2 snRNA (in an area lying towards the 5' end but 3' to hairpin I) and the branchpoint sequence (BPS) of the intron results the bulging out of an unpaired adenosine, on the BPS, which initiates a nucleophilic attack at the intronic 5' splice site, thus starting the first of two transesterification reactions that mediate splicing.
Source: Ensembl